Aedes albopictus (Asian tiger mosquito) is the source of this 73-nucleotide non-coding RNA. NCBI's taxonomy places the organism in Eukaryota, Metazoa, Arthropoda, Insecta, Diptera, Culicidae. The record is from Rfam.
UCUUCUGUGGUUUAGUUGGCCAAAGUGCCGGACUAGCGAUACGGAGUUAUGGGUUCGAAUCCCACCUAAAAAA